UACGUAGGCAGCGAGCGUUGUUCGGAAUCAUUGGGCGUAAAGGGCGUGUAGGCGGUUUGCUAAGUCAUGUGUGAAAUCCCUCGGCUUAACCGGGGAACGACGCAUGAAACUGGCAGCUAGAGUACCAAAGAGGGGGGUGGAAUUCCCGGGUGUAGCGGUGAAAUGCGUAGAUAUCGGGAGGAACACCUGUGGCGAAGGCGGCCCCCUGGUUGGAUACUGACGCUGAUUGCGAAAGCGUGGGGAGCAAACAAGGAUUGAGAAAACCCUGAAGUAGUACCCAGAA
This 283-nucleotide ribosomal RNA is filed under the name uncultured bacterium. RNAcentral describes it as "partial 16S ribosomal RNA". It matches the Rfam family "Bacterial small subunit ribosomal RNA", at positions 524 to 804 of the family's 1533-position model. The record is from RNAcentral.